Long non-coding RNA from Ictalurus punctatus (channel catfish), 2364 nucleotides. The record is from Ensembl. NCBI's taxonomy places the organism in Eukaryota, Metazoa, Chordata, Actinopteri, Siluriformes, Ictaluridae.
GUAUUCGAAUGUAGGUGUCCUUCUUGAACAGGUGGGUAAGGGCCAAAUGUAGGGUGGUGGCAAUGAAAUCAUCUGCUGAGCGGUUGGGACGAUAGGAGAACUGCAGCAGGUCCAAUGAGGGGGGCAGUAGGGUCUUGAUGUGCCUCAUGAUGAGUCUCUCGAAGCACUUCAUGAUUAUGGAUGUGAGCGCAAAGGCACGGUAGUCACUGAGGCAAGACUUCUUCGGCAUGAGGACAAUGGUGGUAUCCCUGAAGCACGUUGGAAUGAUGGCGCUGCUCAAGGAGAUGUUGAGUGCAUCUGGAAGGGAGGCAUCACUGUCAAAGGCGGGUGAUGUCCUGUAGUUGCUGAUUGCCUGAAUGCUCUGCCACAUCUCCCACGUGUCGUGCUAUCCUUGAAGUGGCUGUGGAUUUUCUAGUCGUGUACACACUUUGACUCUCUGAUGGUCUGGCACAGUUUGGCCCUCGCUGUUCUUGAAUUCCUGCGGUAAAUAAAAUGGUCUGCAUCUAACAGUCACAAACUCCACCAGCGAUGAGCAGUAACUAGAAACUAGCAGAGUUUUUGCACAUUUCAGUGUUACUGUAAAUACACAAGCCACCACUGAGAGCCUGACCACACAGAGCUGCAUUUUCAAAUGCAUUCAAACACAUCCAAAUACAAAACAGUUUUUGAAAAGUGGAAUGAUGACGUUUAAAUAAACAGACAUCUUUCAUUUUCAGAAAUGUUCAAGGACAAAGGACAAAAGAAAACCAGCUCGUGCAUCACCGAUAUUGCUAACGCAAGCUUUAGUGAGACAGGAGGCGAUGGAAUGCCUAGUUGGUGGAAAUGUGCUUUUGUUCUAGCUUUUUUCUACAUACUGAAUUUUACACUUUUCUUUUCAGUAUUUAGAAAUGUCAUUUUUAUUUCGCAGACCAAAGCGUCAGCAAAAACAACACCGCGGUAAUGUAUUCUACGUUUUCACUACUAAAGUAGUUUAUAAAAUGUAAUAUGUCUACUCAAGCAGAAAUCAGUGACUCUACUUUAGCACAGUGAGGAAAAGAUCUCGGCGGCAGACCAGAAAACUCUGUGUUUAAUAGAAAACCUGUAUUUAGAGCUUAACUCUGGAAAAUGUUCUUCAAAUAAAACAAGCACUGCAAUCUUACAAUUUCAAAUAUUAAUUUCCAUGAAUAAGCAGAGCAAACAGAAAGAGGUUUGAAGCGCGCACUGUGUCUAUAGAUAUUUAACACACUGCCAUUGAAACACAGGCAGGACUGUAAGGACUACGCAUUAUGGAAACAAACACAAUACCUCUUUCGUAUAGUAAUAGAACAGGCCAUGCCGUUACAGGGAAUUAAUCCCGUACGAAAUGAAAGCUCUGUGUUAUUUAUCCUUCACUACAGCGAAAACAAUUUUUCCACUAAGGAUACGCCACACGUUUAAACAGUUUAUCGUUACAUGUAAUGCUACCUGAAAGCACUGACCCUGAGAAUCCUUCAACAAAUAUAAACAUCUAAAAGAAAACUUCAUAUCAAUGAUUAUAUGGUGUUUGUGAUUGUUGAAUAACACGUUUUUAGUUAUAUUAACUUAUCAUUAGUCUUAGAUUAUGUGACGCCUCUGCCAUACUAGUCCCUGUUACUAUAGAAACAGUAACAUAUACCAAGCAUGUUAAUACAAACAUAUUAUUCAUGUUAUAGCCAGAACUACAGUUAAAAGCCAUUCAUCCACACCUUCUGGUUCGAGAAUUUAACAGCAAUGUGGUAUAAAAGGAAGUAAAGCCAGUUAUUAAAUCAAUCAAUAAUUCAUCACUAGAUACUAUACAAAAACACAACAUAUUAUUGAACGGCAAUGCUGUGGCAAUUCAGCGGCAAUGUGCUGAAUAUAAACAGACAUCAAUUCAAUCAACGAAGAAGAAGUGAUUUGUCAGUAACCAAGUAAUCUUUCCAAAACGUAAACUCACUGAAAACAAAAGCCUCAAUUUCACUAAUCCACAUUCCUUCAAGCCACGACUCAACCCUCCAUCACUCAAGACACAAGGAAGGUGUGCAGCAAGACAUCCCUGUACUGGCACCAAGCUGGUAGAGUAAAUGACCCCUGGCCAGAGUGCCCUCACUGACCUGCCUCUUCACCAAAUACUUCAACAACACAUUAAACAAAACACCCUCCUCUCUCGGUUUCUCGAUGCAGACUACAAGGUCACUCUGCACAAAGGGCGUCUAUUAAAUGCUUUAAAUGUACAUUUGACUUAGCAGGUUGGAUUACAAAAUGCUGAGUUUGUGUUAUAAGAAUAAGCAAAUAAGUAAGCAGGUCUUUCAUUCCUUGCAAGGUACACAUUUUUGCUUUUCCAAUGUACACCUUGAAGAUACUGAGUUCAAAAUAUUUUGAAAAAAA